RNAcentral lists this ribosomal RNA (240 nucleotides) under uncultured bacterium. Its description in RNAcentral is "partial 16S ribosomal RNA". It matches the Rfam family "Archaeal small subunit ribosomal RNA", at positions 487 to 727 of the family's 1478-position model. The record is from RNAcentral.
AGUGCUCGGGACGAUUAUUGGGCCUAAAGCAUCCGUAGCCGGUUCUACAAGUCUUCCGUUAAAUCCACCUGCUUAACAGAUGGGCUGCGGAGGAUACUAUAGAGCUAGGAGGCGGGAGAGGCAAGCGGUACUUAGUGGGUAGGGGUAAAAUCCGUUGAUCCAUUGAAGACCACCAGUGGCGAAGGCGGCUUGCCAGAACGCACUCGACGGUGAGGGAUGAAAGCUGGGGGAGCAAACCGG